This is a non-coding RNA of Mycena crocata, 98 nucleotides long. The record is from the annotation of a GenBank genome assembly. NCBI's taxonomy places the organism in Eukaryota, Fungi, Basidiomycota, Agaricomycetes, Agaricales, Mycenaceae.
AGCAGCAUGGUGUAUGGCCUCAUGCGGGGCUUUCUUGCAGCCGAAUCCCAUCGUAACCUAGUCAUCCCGAGGUCCUCGUUCGAUUCGAGGUGCUGCUA